AUCCGUGUUUUUUUUCCCCAAAAUCCCGUUUUUCCCCCCGCAGGUGAAGGAUUUCGACGCCGUCUCGCGCCUGGAGCCGUGGCUGACGGCGCUGCUGCUGCGCAUCAAGAGGAGCAUCCCGGGCGAGGAGCAGGACCUGCGCUGACAGCGCCCCAAAACCGCCCAAAAACAGCCCAAAAACAGCCUGGAAACGCCCUGAAAAUACCCCAAAAAUACCCACAAAAAUACCCCAAAAUACGGCCAAAAACACCCCAAAAACAGCCCGGAAACGCCCCGAAAACACCCCAAAAAUACCCCAAAAACAGCCCAGAAACUGCCCAAAAAUACCCACAAAAACUGCCCAAAAAUACCCCAAAAUACGGCAAAAUAUACCCCAAAAACUGCCCAAAAAUACCACAAAAACAACCCAAAAACUGCCCAAAAAUACCCACAAAAAUACCCCCAAAACAGCCCAAAAACAGCCCGGAAACGCCCUGAAAAUACCCCAAAAAAUACCCCAAAAACAGCCCGAAAUCGCCCCCAAAAUACCCCAAAAAAUACCCCAAAAUACCCCAAAAUACGGCCAAAAACA
Molecule: long non-coding RNA, 571 nt
Filed under: Chloebia gouldiae (Gouldian finch)
Lineage: Eukaryota; Metazoa; Chordata; Aves; Passeriformes; Passeridae
Description: Erythrura gouldiae (Gouldian finch) lncRNA (ENSEGOG00005018338.1)
Source: RNAcentral